CGUAACCGGGCUGAAGUCGUACCGUAAGGAGCGGUGGACUGGUUACGAGUGAGAAUGUUGGCAUCAGUAGCGAGAUGUGGGUGAGAAUCCCACAGGCCGAAAACCUAAGGUUUCCUCAGGAAGGUUCGUCCGCUGAGGGUUAGUCGGGACCUAAGCCGAGGCCGAAAGGCGUAGGUGAUGGACAACUGGUUGAUAUUCCAGUACCACUACCAU
Molecule: ribosomal RNA, 213 nt
Filed under: Clostridium perfringens
Lineage: Bacteria; Bacillati; Bacillota; Clostridia; Eubacteriales; Clostridiaceae
Description: partial 23S ribosomal RNA
Rfam family: Bacterial large subunit ribosomal RNA
Source: RNAcentral